Molecule: long non-coding RNA, 1694 nt
Organism: Gasterosteus aculeatus aculeatus (three-spined stickleback)
Lineage: Eukaryota; Metazoa; Chordata; Actinopteri; Perciformes; Gasterosteidae
Source: Ensembl
CCAAUGGGGGGGGGGGGGGGGGGGGCGAGGGCGAGCACUCUCGGGCCGUUUGCUUUUGUCUUUGCUCCAGCACUCCUUUCUCGUACGUUUCCCCCCCCCCCGUGUGAAGGGAAGUUGAGAGGUAAAGUAGGAAGAGAGGUGUGUCACUCUCCUUGCCUUUUUUUCUGUUUUUUCAAAGCCCUCCAGGAUCCCCCCCCCCCUCUGCACACUGUGCUCCAGAGUGGCACCUUUUUAAACAUUUGCAUACCAGGGUUGGGGUCCCCUCCCGCGGUCGGCCCUGCCUCUUACUCCAAAAAAAACUCCACCCAAGGCUGUUGGGUGGUUCAUGUGAGAACUUUGCAGUGUGUGUUUGGUCGAGCACUCGUAGAAGAAGAUGGCGCCUAGAAAUGUAUCGCCCUUCGAGCCUGCUCACCGCUCCCAGUACUUGUUCCGUGUCAUAUCACAAACUUCCAUGUCUGCUGUACAAUGGUGCUUCGGGGAACGAGCCGUACCAACAGAUUUAAAAGAUUUAUUUAGUUCUGAGAAAGGCCAUGGCGUUGGUGAACGGCGGGCGCCCCCUCAUACUCGCCGGCGUCUCUGGCCGGUGAGAUCCGCUCUUGUUGUUGUUGUUGUUGUUGUUGUUGUUUUCAGAGUGGACCCCGACCUUGCUGACCAGCCAUAAAAAUUAAAAGAGGAGCCGCUGAGUACUUUCUGGUUUACAGAGAACGAUGGGAGACUUUAUUGAUUUAAGACCAGUGGGAUUGAAUGGGAUUUAAAAAGAGAAACUUGAUGUCACUUUGGAAAGGCCUGAUGUCACUUUGUAUGGUUUGAUUGAAAUGCUUGUUUGCCAUUUGUUUUUGUUUUUGUUUUAUUGGGGUGUGUGUGUCAGAAUGUUUGCUAUUGUAUUUGCUUUUAUUCUUGAGGACUGUGUUCUCCCCGGUAUCAGUCUGUCAUCCUACUCCACCUGCAAAGAUGUAUUUGUUUUUUUUUAAUACUCCCAUCUUUGUUUUAAACCCCGCCCCUCCUCAGCUCUCCCUCCCCCCAUGAUUGGGCAGAAGGCCGGUGUGUUGUGCCGAAGCUGUCAGUCAUGCUUCGAAGCGGGUGAAACCGACUACCACAGAAACUCUACACCAGCUUCCCGCCUUAAAAGCCCCCUACCUCUACAACACCCCCCCCCUCCCCCUCAGAUGCCUCACACAUGAUCAAGAGUUGCACAGGACCUUGUAGGUGGCUGGAUUUCAGAAUGCUCGAUGAGAUUCCAUCCAACUCCGUGGGAGUGUUAGAUGAACAUGAACAGUGCCUGCUGACGGCUCCGACUCUUUAUUUUAGGAAAAACCUUCCCCCCCCCACCCCCCCGCAAGCCGACAGACUGGACGUUAAAGAGCUGAUGUGAUGAAUGAUGCUGAAACUCUGCAUGGAGGUGUGAAGAUAAUUGGGUAUUCAUGGGAGAACUCUGUAGGUUCCAGACAUGUACAAUGCUAAUGGAAAAUAUCUGCUUAAAUAAAAAAAGAAGUGAUGAUUAAAACUGGAAAUCUGAAUCGCUACCUGGUUUGUGUGGUGUGUAAUAAGAUACUGAUCGUCACUGACUGAUUUAAUCAUUUGGCUCCCACAAUAACGCUUAUCAGAGAUAAAAACAAGUCAUUUUAUAAGCGCUAACCACCAAAUACCUUGUGAUGACCUGUGAUGUAAUUAUCCCCGAUGAAAUAACCAAGCAC